RNAcentral lists this long non-coding RNA (897 nucleotides) under Phasianus colchicus (ring-necked pheasant). RNAcentral's name for it is "lncRNA (ENSPCLG00000011614.1)". Lineage: Eukaryota; Metazoa; Chordata; Aves; Galliformes; Phasianidae. The record is from RNAcentral.
AUUUCUAGCAUCUACAUUAGUUUAUUCUCCUCAAAUGCACGUGCAGGAAUCACUAAGGUUGGAAAAGACCUCCAAGAUCACUAAGUCCAACCCCAUCCCACCACCCACGUCCCACAGUGCCACAUCCCCACGGCUCUGGGACACCUCCAGGUGACCCCACCACUUCCCUCCCGGAGGAGGGACGGUCACCUCCUGCUCCUGCUGGCUGCUCUCCCGCUGACACAAGCCGAGGUGCCGUUGGCCUCCUUGGCCACCUGAGCACACUGCUGGCUCACGUUCAGCCGGUCCCUGAAACGAGCCCUUACGGAACCCAAAAGGUUCCAUCCCAAGCCAGACCUCAGGCUGGCACUCCCCACGCUUCACACCGUAAAACACUAUUUAGGAGCUAACACAACAAAGCUCUUCCCCACCGACCGAUCUGAGGGAAACACAGCCCUCCUACCCCCUCGACGCCGGCCGCGGAGGCGCGCACCCCGCACUGAGCCGUGCCGAUCGCCUCACCUGAGACACGCCGCUCCGCCAGGCACGGGCCCACCACGCCGCUGGCCAGCAGCGCUACGGCGGCCGCGGCGGGACACACCAUUCACACCAAUCGCACGGCGCGGCGGCGGAACUGCGGCGGCUGUUCCGCCGUGCGCAUGCGCAGGGCGUAAGAUAAGUCGCGGCCGCGAGCAUGGCGGCUGUAGUAGGAGCGGUGGCGCGAACUUUGGCCUGAGGGAUGAGGUCAGUGGGCGUGGCGGGAGUGAGCUUGGUGAGCUUGGUGAGCUUUUCCAACCUGGGCGAUUCUAUGGCCGAGCCUCCACGUGGUUACCAGUUUUACCUCAGGAUAGCGAUGAAGUUCAGGUAAACUAUCCAGGAUUGUCUGACGUUAUGGAAGACUUUCAAGAAAUGUAUUGA